This 355-nucleotide long non-coding RNA is filed under the name Capsicum annuum. RNAcentral describes it as "long non-coding RNA (CANN_LNC001584)". The record is from RNAcentral. Lineage: Eukaryota; Viridiplantae; Streptophyta; Magnoliopsida; Solanales; Solanaceae.
ACAAUUCCUUUCACAGAGGAAAAGAAAAAGAUACAAACUAAUGAUCUAUUUCUCAUUUUUUAGGAGAGAGGAUUCCCUCACCUCACUUGACAUUAUAUACAACACCUACAACAAUAUAUACAUACAUGAAAAAAUUUCAAUCGGGCUGUUUUCUUAUUCACACACACCACCACAAUACACCUCCACAUCUAUUAAUACUUGAUGUUGCGCAAAUUACACUUCUCAAAAAGUAUAAAGUGGUUGUUCAAUCAAAUAUAGAACCCAAGAAGGUUGUGGCCGAUCCCACGAGGAAUAGGCCAAAAUUAUGUCAUGAGUUUGUCUAUGUAACUGGCAAUUUAGAAAAAUAAAAGGGGGA